UAUGUGAUCGUCUCUCGCAUAUCAAUAAGCGGAGGAAAAGAAACUAACAAGGAUUCCCCUAGUAACGGCGAGUGAAGCGGGAAGAGCUCAAAUUUGAAAUCUUAAAGGGUUUCCCUUUACGAAUUGUAGUUUAAAGAAGUGUUUUCUGUUGAGGUUUUGGUAAAAGUUCUUUGGAAUAGGACAUCAUAGAGGGUGAGAAUCCCGUAUUUGACCUUUACUUUCAACUUUGUGAUACACUUUCAAAGAGUCGGAUUGUUUGGGAAUGCAGUCCAAAAUGGGUGGUAAAUUUCAUCUAAAGCUAAAUAUUGGCGAGAGACCGAUAGCGAACAAGUACCGUGAGGGAAAGAUGAAAAGAACUUCGAAAAGAGAGUUAAACAGUACGUGAAAUUGUCAAAAGGGAAGCGUUUGACACCAGUGUUGUUUUCUGAAAAUCAAUUAAAGAACUGUUUAUGCUAAGCUGUUUAGACUUUAUCAGCUAUCUGUUUAGUUUUGAGCUUUUCUUUAAUGCACUUUUCAGUUAACAAGUCAACAUCAAUUUCUUUUGCUGUAAAAAAGCUUGAGGAAGGUGGCUUGAGAUUCGUCUUAAGUGUUUAUAGCCUCUUGCCUAUGCAGUCGGAGAGAUUGAGGUCUGCAGCGUAGAUCCUUCGGGGCUAAAUGCAUUUGUGCUAAGUUAUAGCAUUUUAUAGACAACUUGUUGACUAUGAUUUGUCUUGUAGCUUACUCGCUUAUGUUAUUUUACCUACGCUUAGGAUGUUGAACGCGCACAGAGUCUC
RNAcentral lists this ribosomal RNA (773 nucleotides) under uncultured Neocallimastigales. RNAcentral's name for it is "partial large subunit ribosomal RNA". It matches the Rfam family "Eukaryotic large subunit ribosomal RNA", at positions 24 to 641 of the family's 3401-position model. Lineage: Eukaryota; Fungi; Neocallimastigomycota; Neocallimastigomycetes; Neocallimastigales. The record is from RNAcentral.